UCUUCCUCCCGGGGACGCGGUGCGGAGCCCGCUGCAAACGGCGUGGCCGCGGCACAAUACCGCGGCGCGGCGCACACAAUCACCGCCCCCCAGGACCGGCGGCGCGCAGCGCCAGGAGUGGGGUGCGCCCGGCAGCUCCCGGCACUUGAGGCUAGGCGCACCUCUCGGGCACCCCGCAGGCCCCGGAGCGCAGCCUCCGCCCCUCCCCGCUCUCGGGCACACUCGCCCGCCCCCAGCCCCAGCCCACUCCACCCAGGGCCAGCAGCUCGCCCGGCGCAGGAAGCUCCCCUUUGCACCCGCCCCUGCACCCUCCUUUCCGCUCUGCCGUCAGCUCCAGUGUCCAGGCUGCGCUCACCUGUUCGACCCAAACAUUCCGGCGACCCCGAGCGCCCGCCGCCCGCUCGCUCCCGGCUCCCUCUGAAGGUCCCCGCCCCACUCCGCGGGUCAUUGUGCUCCAGCCGACCACACGGUGCCGGCUCCUUACGGCGCUCUGGCUACAGUUGUAAAGUCAUAGCAUAAUAUCAAUAAUGCUGCCCAGACCUGGGCGCGCACAGUACGCAGGGACUCUGCAGGGAAAGGAAGCCGCACGACCCAAGCCACAGGUUCGGAGCUCCCUGUUGACGGAUUAGAAAAGAUGACAACACUUCAAAUUAACAGCACACAGACUUCAUUCUGCACAUGCUAAAGAUUUUACUGUCAAUAUGAAACUCACGCUUAGAAAAAAAGGAUUUAGGCGUGCUACUCAUUAGCGCCUUUUACUCCUGAAAUUAAAUGUGUUUUCAAAUCAAUUCAGCAAUUCACUUCUCCCACUCUCCCUGUUAGC
Long non-coding RNA from Phodopus roborovskii (desert hamster), 823 nucleotides. RefSeq lists it as uncharacterized. The record is from RefSeq and is a predicted model, not a curated record. NCBI's taxonomy places the organism in Eukaryota, Metazoa, Chordata, Mammalia, Rodentia, Cricetidae. The transcript is spliced from 3 exons.